Long non-coding RNA from Ictalurus punctatus (channel catfish), 349 nucleotides. The record is from Ensembl. NCBI's taxonomy places the organism in Eukaryota, Metazoa, Chordata, Actinopteri, Siluriformes, Ictaluridae.
GUGAUCUCAGACACUUCAAGGUGUGUGUUAGGUGAGAGUGUGUGUUCUGAGACACUACAGGGUGUGUGUUAGGUGAGAGUGUGUGUUCUGAGACACUACAGGGUGUGUGUUAGGUGAGAGUGUGUGAUCUGAGACACUACAGGGUGUGUGUUAGGUGAGAGUGUGUGAUCUGAGACACUACGGGUGUGUGUUAGGUGAGAGUGUGUGAUCUGAGUCACUACGGGUGUGUGUUAGGUGAGAGUACAUGAUCUGAGACACUACACGGUGUGUGUUAAAGCAGAGUGUGUGAUCUGAUAGUACGGGUUGUGUUUGGUGAGAGUGUAUGUUCUGAGACACUACGGGGUGUGUG